GCUUAUUUAAUUUCAUGCCCAUUUUCCUGAAAACAUUCCUCUGUUGUGAAAAAAUACUUUGGAAAAAUUUGCACCCUUGCUGGCCAGUGUCGGCCAAAGAUCGUAUUUUCACAUAAAGUUUGCACUAAUAUUGAGCUGUACAGUUUUCUGGGAGAGGUCUCACUGGUCUGUUUGCAACAUUGAAGAAUGUCCGAAGUUUUUUCAUGAGCAGUUGCAAGGUCAACAAAAUGGUGACAGAUACGAUGAAGUAAGGAUUUUUUCUUGCUGCCCAAGCCAUCAUCCAGUAUGAUAUAAAGAAAAUUCCAGUUGAAUAAUUUAGGAAACAGUCCAUUCAUAAACAAUUUGUGUUUUGCUAUUGGUAGAUUUACGCAAGAUUUAUUGAAUUAAUGUUUAUUUAUAAUAACUGUUUAUUUGUAGAGGAUACUUUUUUCAAACACAUUUCAACUUUACGAUUGUGAGCAUACUGAAAUGCAGUCAUUUACGAAAUCUGCUCAGGGAAAUCUCCAUAAAGCAUGCUUAAAAUUUGAACAUUUACCAGGAAGAAUUCGAUUAGAAUGAUAAUAGGAAAGUAAAAAUAGACAAAUUCUCGGUAUCCCUAGUAUCGAAUGAACAAAGAUCUUUUUCUUGUUAUUUAAAUAGUUGCAUCUUAAAUAGUUAUGCAAUGAAGUGUGUCAUUGACACGCGUAAUAUCACAUUUUUAAAUGAAUUCUUGCAUUUUA
Molecule: long non-coding RNA, 719 nt
Organism: Xenia sp. Carnegie-2017
Lineage: Eukaryota; Metazoa; Cnidaria; Anthozoa; Malacalcyonacea; Xeniidae
Exons: 3
Source: RefSeq, a predicted model, not a curated record